AUUGAACGCUGGCGGCAUGCCUUACACAUGCAAGUCGAACGGCAGCGCGGACUUCGGUCUGGCGGCGAGUGGCGAACGGGUGAGUAAUACAUCGGAACGUACCCUGUUGUGGGGGAUAACUAGUCGAAAGAUUAGCUAAUACCGCAUACGACCUGGGGGUGAAAGUGGGGGACCGCAAGGCCUCACGCAGCAGGAGCGGCCGAUGUCUGAUUAGCUAGUUGGUGGGGUAAAGGCCCACCAAGGCGACGAUCAGUAGCUGGUCUGAGAGGACGAUCAGCCACACUGGGACUGAGACACGGCCCAGACUCCUACGGGAGGCAGCAGUGGGGAAUUUUGGGACAAUGGGGGCAACCCUGAUCCAGCAAUGCCGCGUGUGUGAAGAAGGCC
Molecule: ribosomal RNA, 387 nt
Filed under: uncultured bacterium
Lineage: Bacteria
Description: bacterial SSU rRNA
Rfam family: Bacterial small subunit ribosomal RNA
Source: RNAcentral